CCCUUUUUUUCCACUGAACAACUGAGUCGAAACUGUGACAAACAUCACAACAGCUUCAGUUCUACUUGUAACUUUGCUCACUACUCCAGAAGCGCAGACACACUGUUGACUGUGACACAUGUGUUAACUGUGGGAGUGUUGAUGGGGUCGAAACCCUAGCGUGACCUUCGCCUUGUGGGGAGUAGGAACCAAACCUGCCUGGAUUUUCUUUUUUUUUUUUUUUUUUUUUCUUUUCAGUUGUACAUACUUCACUAGAGGGCACCAGUAACACAAUAUAGCUCUGAGUAGCAGUGGGGUCAACUUUGGUUCCAACUCAAAAUGUUAACAUUACUAGAAAUGUUGUUACCCAGUACUGAUCAGUUCAAAAAUGACUCCAUAAUACCUUGUAAGUGCUUGUUACAGCAGGCUGACAAAAUAUACAAAUACUGCUAAAAAUAAGCAAAAUAACUAGGCACUGAUGGGACAGACAGGGCUACACAUGUGGAACAAAAAUUUUGCUAGGAGUCAAUUUUGAGUUCCCGAUUAUGUGAGGGUUAAGGAUCGGGUGGUUGGUCCUCAUGUUUCUCUAUUAAAUAUUAUCCUACGAACCUGUGAGGCUGUAGAAGAGCCGCUGUCUCUGACUGGUUGAUCCAGUGCAGCCACACCUAGUUGUGAACACCCAUUUUCGCAUAAUAAACACCAGGGUGUGGCGACAGGGUCAUGAAAAAACUCCCAUUCAGAGGAAAGAUGUUUCCUCCCUCUGGUGUACUUUUCUUCUCAGUCUUUCUAGGUAAGUCAGCAUUUAUGUUAUUAACAUCUCCAUAAUUUUAUGGACAAAGAAGAAGAGAGGGAUGUCAUUUACUGGAGUUUCUUUGUUCAUUUCAGUUGCUGCAGGGCAGAUCAUGCUGAUUCAGGACAUAAUAUCGGUGACAAAAAGUGAGGCAAAAAUGGUGUUCAUCCCCUGCAGAGAUUCUGGACUGAACCAGUAUCAUUUCAUCCACUGGUACCAGAAGAGGGAAGGAGAACCACUGAAAAAGCAGCAGCUCUUCACCAAGACAAACUAACAAUGACUAGAGGUGAAGGUAAAACUGCAGCAAUCAGCUGCACAGGAACCACUGGCUGUUACAGGUACCUCCACUGGUACCAGAAAAAAAGAUGUAGAAGAACCGAAGAGGAUCCUUUACGUCGAACUUGAAAGCACGAAAACCUUUAAAGAUGCUGGAUACGAAGACCUUGAAACAGAAAAAACUGAGCCGGACACGUUCUACCUGGUAUUAGCCCGGCUCAGAAGUGGGUUUUCAGCCACUUACUUGUGCGCCUGCUGGGUUCACCACAGUGAUGUUGACUCUGCACAACAGCUGGGGAAACAACCUCCAGUGACACACGAAGGCUGAAUAAAUUGCACAGAUUUAAAAAGGUUACGAGCA
This 1406-nucleotide long non-coding RNA is filed under the name Scleropages formosus (Asian bonytongue). Its description in RNAcentral is "lncRNA (ENSSFOG00015029373.1)". The record is from RNAcentral. Lineage: Eukaryota; Metazoa; Chordata; Actinopteri; Osteoglossiformes; Osteoglossidae.